GAUGAACGCUGGCGGCGUGCCUAAUACAUGCAAGUCGAGCGAACGGACGAGCAGCUUGCUUCUCUGAUGUUAGCGGCGGACGGGUGAGUAACACGUGGAUAACCUACCUAUAAGACUGGGAUAACUUCGGGAAACCGGAGCUAAUACCGGAUAAUAUUUUGAACCGCAUGGUUCAAAAGUGAAAGACGGUCUUGCUGUCACUUAUAGAUGGAUCCGCGCUGCAUUAGCUAGUUGGUAAGGUAACGGCUUACCAAGGCAACGAUGCAUAGCCGACCUGAGAGGGUGAUCGGCCACACUGGAACUGAGACACGGUCCAGACCCCUACGGGAGGCAGCAGUAGGGAAUCUUCCGCAAUGGGCGAAAGCCUGACGGAGCAACGCCGCGUGAGUGAUGAAGGUCUUCGGAUCGUAAAACUCUGUUAUUAGGGAAGAACAUAUGUGUAAGUAACUGUGCACAUCUUGACGGUAUCUAAUCAGAAAGCCACGGCUAACUACGUG
RNAcentral lists this ribosomal RNA (497 nucleotides) under uncultured bacterium. Its description in RNAcentral is "partial 16S ribosomal RNA". It matches the Rfam family "Bacterial small subunit ribosomal RNA", at positions 28 to 507 of the family's 1533-position model. The record is from RNAcentral.